Molecule: long non-coding RNA, 566 nt
Filed under: Anser brachyrhynchus (Pink-footed goose)
Lineage: Eukaryota; Metazoa; Chordata; Aves; Anseriformes; Anatidae
Description: lncRNA (ENSABRG00000014250.1)
Source: RNAcentral
GGAAAGGAGAAAGCAAUCUGUUUGUUUGUUUUUAGCUUGUCUUUAUUUUUCACCAUUCAACUCUAUUUUUAACACCCAAGAGAGACCUCUUACCCAGCAUCUGAUCUUUACAGCGAGAUCUGACACUAGAAGACCUCCAUUAUCUGAACAUUUUGAUUUCAUUCACAGAAAUAACUUUUGGCAGAGAGUAAUGAAGAGUCCCUUAAAUGAAAAAGUGUAAGAAGCCAUGCUUAGUAACCUCCAGAUGUAAAAGAAUGACCUAAAAAAAGAAGAUUAAGGAUAUUAACCAAUAGUCAUUAUCCACUGAGAAUUCACAGCUGGAAAUGUGUAUUGUCAUUUAUGCACUAUGCUGCUGUGCAACAAACCCAAUGAGUUCUCAUACGGCCGAGCUUAAAUCAUGAGUCUGUUUUGCCUUAACAUUUAGUGACAGGUUCAUGAUUUUAUAAGAUCAUUACCAAAUCAGUGCAGGGAAAUGCAGUUCUAAUAUAUCUGUGCAUUACAUCCAUGCAUUAAUCUGAAACAUUUUGCACAAUAAAUUUUCAAACUGGAUUAUGUUUUAUAUAGAC